GGCUACGAGGACGAACGCUGGCGGCACGCUUAACACAUGCAAGUCGAACGGAGAAUUUUGGUUACUAAGAAUUCUUAGUGGCGGACGGGUGAGUAACACGUGAGCAACCUGCCUCUGAGAGAGGGAUAGCUUCUGGAAACGGAUGGUAAUACCUCAUAACAUAUCGAAACCGCAUGAUUUUGAUAUCAAAGAUUUAUCACUCAGAGAUGGGCUCGCGUCUGAUUAGAUAGUUGGUGAGGUAACGGCUCACCAAGUCGACGAUCAGUAGCCGGACUGAGAGGUUGAACGGCCACAUUGGGACUGAGACACGGCCCAGACUCCUACGGGAGGCAGCAGUGGGGAAUAUUGCACAAUGGGGGAAACCCUGAUGCAGCGAUGCCGCGUGGAGGAAGAAGGUUUUCGGAUUGUAAACUCCUGUCUUAAAGGACGAUAAUGACGGUACUUUAGGAGGAAGCUCCGGCUAACUACGUGCCAGCAGCGGC
RNAcentral lists this ribosomal RNA (482 nucleotides) under uncultured bacterium. RNAcentral describes it as "bacterial SSU rRNA". It matches the Rfam family "Bacterial small subunit ribosomal RNA", at positions 26 to 518 of the family's 1533-position model. The record is from RNAcentral.